AUUUUGGACAAUGGGGGAAACCGUGAUCCAGCUAUCGCGCGUGUAUGUCGAAGGCCAUCGGGUUGUAAAGUACUUUUGGCAGAGAAGAAAAGGUAUCCCCUACUACGAGAUACUGCUGACGGUAUCUGCAGAAUAAGCAGCUGCUAACUACGUCCCAGCCGCCGCGGGAAUACGUAGGCUGCAAGCGUUAAUCGGCAUUACUGGUCACAAAGCGUGUGUAGGCGGUUCGGAAAGAAAGAUGUGAAAUCCCAGGGCUCAACCUUGGAACUGCAUUUUUAACUGCCGAGCUAGAGUAUGUCAGAGGGGGGUAGAAUUCCACGUGUAGCAGUGAAAUGCGUAGCUAUGUGGAGGAAUACCGAUGGCGAAGGCAGCCCCCUGGGAUAAUACUGACGCUCAGACACGAAAGCGUGGGGAGCAAACA
Molecule: ribosomal RNA, 421 nt
Filed under: uncultured bacterium
Lineage: Bacteria
Description: partial 16S ribosomal RNA
Rfam family: Bacterial small subunit ribosomal RNA
Source: RNAcentral